UGGGGAAUAUUGCGCAAUGGGGGCAACCCUGACGCAGCAACGCCGCGUGCGGGACGACGGCCUUCGGGUUGUAAACCGCUUUCAGCAGGGAAGAUAGUGACGGUACCUGCACAAGAAGCCACGGCUAACUACGUGCCAGCAGCCGCGGUAAUACGUAGGUGGCGAGCGUUAUCCGGAAUUAUUGGGCGUAAAGGGUGCGUAGGCGGUCUGUUAAGUUCAUGGUUAAAUUUUGGGGCUCAACCCCAUUGAGCCAUGGAUACUGGCAGACUAGAGUAUUGGAGAGGCAAGCGGAAUUCCAUGUGUAGCGGUAAAAUGCGUAGAUAUAUGGAGGAACACCGGUGGCGAAGGCGGCUUGCUAGCCAAAGACUGACGCUCAGGCACGAAAGCGUGGGGAGCAAAUAGG
This 403-nucleotide ribosomal RNA is filed under the name Verrucomicrobiota bacterium. RNAcentral describes it as "Verrucomicrobia bacterium partial 16S ribosomal RNA". It matches the Rfam family "Bacterial small subunit ribosomal RNA", at positions 355 to 776 of the family's 1533-position model. The record is from RNAcentral. Lineage: Bacteria; Pseudomonadati; Verrucomicrobiota.